RNAcentral lists this ribosomal RNA (811 nucleotides) under Pseudonocardia sp. SX2S4S10. RNAcentral describes it as "bacterial SSU rRNA". It matches the Rfam family "Bacterial small subunit ribosomal RNA", at positions 56 to 879 of the family's 1533-position model. The record is from RNAcentral. Lineage: Bacteria; Bacillati; Actinomycetota; Actinomycetes; Pseudonocardiales; Pseudonocardiaceae.
UGCAGGUCGAGCGGUAAGGCCCUUUCGGGGGUACACGAGCGGCGAACGGGUGAGUAACACGUGGGUGACCUGCCCUCCACUCUGGGAUAAGCCCGGGAAACUGGGUCUAAUACCGGAUAGGACCACUGAUCGCAUGGUUGGUGGUGGAAAGUUUUUUCGGUGGGGGAUGGGCCCGCGGCCUAUCAGCUUGUUGGUGGGGUGAUGGCCUACCAAGGCGGUGACGGGUAGCCGGCCUGAGAGGGCGACCGGCCACACUGGGACUGAGACACGGCCCAGACUCCUACGGGAGGCAGCAGUGGGGAAUAUUGCGCAAUGGGCGGAAGCCUGACGCAGCGACGCCGCGUGGGGGAUGACGGCCUUCGGGUUGUAAACCUCUUUCGCCAGGGACGAAGAGCAAUUGACGGUACCUGGAGAAGAAGCACCGGCCAACUACGUGCCAGCAGCCGCGGUAACACGUAGGGUGCGAGCGUUGUCCGGAAUUAUUGGGCGUAAAGAGCUCGUAGGCGGUGUGUCGCGUCGGCCGUGAAAACUUGGGGCUUAACUCUGAGCGUGCGGUCGAUACGGGCAUCACUUGAGUUCGGCAGGGGAGACUGGAAUUCCUGGUGUAGCGGUGAAAUGCGCAGAUAUCAGGAGGAACACCGGUGGCGAAGGCGGGUCUCUGGGCCGAUACUGACGCUGAGGAGCGAAAGCGUGGGGAGCGAACAGGAUUAGAUACCCUGGUAGUCCACGCCGUAAACGUUGGGCGCUAGGUGUGGGGACCAUUCCACGGUUUCUGUGCCGCAGCUAACGCAUUAAGCGCCCCGCCUGGGGA